RNAcentral lists this unclassified non-coding RNA (572 nucleotides) under Hevea brasiliensis (rubber tree). Lineage: Eukaryota; Viridiplantae; Streptophyta; Magnoliopsida; Malpighiales; Euphorbiaceae. The record is from RNAcentral.
GGAUUGAAUUCUUGUAAAAUUCAAUUGAAUUGAAUUGCUAGGCAAAGGAAUAAAAGUAAAUUUUCAACGGACUUGAUGUCCCAAUAAGAGGAGUGGAAAUCCCUCUAUUCAAAUAAAAUUAUAGUUCUGAUGUCUGUGAACAAAACAAACAAGCUGGUGCUAGUAGAUUAUCCCUCAGCAAAACCUAUGUUACAAUCUGAUAUAAACAAGAAACACACUGCAAGUUUUUACAAUCUCCUCCCUACAAUUACUAUUUGACUCCCUAAACUAUGACAAUAUAUCAUGGAUGACAGUUUACAAGAAACAGCUUUCUUAGAGUAAUUGACAAAGAUACAAUAAUGAUAAACAGUGAAAAAAAUUUAGACAGAGAGAAGAAAGUGUAUUAUGACAGUUAAAAGAGUUCAAAUAAACUCUACAAUAACAAUGCAGGACAGCUGCAGAAAAUUGACUAUUAUGUGAACUUUCAGGGAAAUUUUCAGGAGUGUUAAAGAGUUCAAGUCCUGGUGGGCCUUAUAACCAGUAUAACUUCAGAAACAAAUCAAGAACAGAAAAUAAGAUUCAGGGGAUAUUUU